CGCUUCAUAUAGUCCUAUACUUGUAUGAAAUAUAUACCGUUUUGUUGGAGUUCGUGUUGCUCGGUCUUAAGUUCUUUAUGUUACGUUUUGUGUACUAUUGUAUUGUAUUUGUCUAUUAUAUUCGGGUGCGUGCGGAGAUCGCCAAGCUAGAAAACGGUUGACAUUUUCUUCAUUAUGAACUAGAACUAUUUUCGACCUCGGUGCCUUAUUUUUUGUUAAAAUCUAAACACUGCGACGUGUUUUCAAAAUCUUUGUUCUCAUAAAACUUUAUUUCAUCAAGGUCUCUUCUCAGAAUAUCAGCCAUCUGUCUGGCACAGGAUAACAAAUCAAUAUUUAAGUAAAUUUAAGUUGUGUGGCAAUUCUUAGUACAUUUGGGUAAAUUAAUCUUAUCUUUGUGCCGCAUAAGCAUCUCUAUAAUUCAACACAUCCCUGAGCCACGACAUUAUAUAUUUUAUGCAUCGCAUGCGCUUCUUUUUAUCACAAUCCAGACCGGCUAGUAACCGUUGUAUAACUUUACACGUCUGAAGACGAAUAUUUGCGUGAAACAUUUUUGUAUGAUUUUAUUUCUGGAAAUCAAUCUGAAAUCUACAACAGUCCAUUUCCGAAAGUCGGG
This 613-nucleotide long non-coding RNA is filed under the name Mytilus galloprovincialis (Mediterranean mussel). Lineage: Eukaryota; Metazoa; Mollusca; Bivalvia; Mytilida; Mytilidae. The record is from RNAcentral.